AUUGAACGCUGGCGGCAGGCCUAACACAUGCAAGUCGAGCGGAUGAAGGGAGCUUGCUCCUGGAUUCAGCGGCGGACGGGUGAGUAAUGCCUAGGAAUCUGCCUGGUAGUGGGGGAUAACGUCCGGAAACGGGCGCUAAUACCGCAUACGUCCUGAGGGAGAAAGUGGGGGAUCUUCGGACCUCACGCUAUCAGAUGAGCCUAGGUCGGAUUAGCUAGUUGGUGGGGUAAAGGCUUACCAAGGCGACGAUCCGUAACUGGUCUGAGAGGAUGAUCAGUCACACUGGAACUGAGACACGGUCCAGACUCCUACGGGAGGCCGCAGUGGGGAAUAUUGGACAAUGGGCGAAAGCCUGAUCCAGCCAUGCCGCGUGUGUGAAGAAGGUCUUCGGCUUGUAAAGCACUUUAAGUUGGGAGGAAGGGCAGUAAGUUAAUACCUUGCUGUUUUGACGUUACCAACAGAAUAAGCACCGGCUAACUUCGUG
This 484-nucleotide ribosomal RNA is filed under the name uncultured bacterium. RNAcentral's name for it is "partial 16S ribosomal RNA". It matches the Rfam family "Bacterial small subunit ribosomal RNA", at positions 30 to 507 of the family's 1533-position model. The record is from RNAcentral.